Molecule: small RNA, 29 nt
Filed under: Bombyx mori (domestic silkworm)
Lineage: Eukaryota; Metazoa; Arthropoda; Insecta; Lepidoptera; Bombycidae
Description: ovarian small RNA-20764
Source: RNAcentral
UACCGUCCUCGCCAGGGGCUUUGCGCUUU